AAUGUCUUUUACGUUGGACGCCCAGAGUCACG
RNAcentral lists this small nuclear RNA (32 nucleotides) under Eremothecium sinecaudum. RNAcentral's name for it is "HERSNR11". Lineage: Eukaryota; Fungi; Ascomycota; Saccharomycetes; Saccharomycetales; Saccharomycetaceae. The record is from RNAcentral.